AAGUCGUAACAAGGUUUCCGUAGGUGAACCUGCGGAAGGAUCAUUACAGAAUAAACUUGAUGGAUUGUUGCUGGCUCUCUCUCAAGAGUAUGUGCACACCUGUCAUUUUUAUAUUUCCACCUGUGCACCCUUUGUAGUUCUGGAACAACCCAUGCUUUCGGUGCAUGAAUAGAGGGACUGCUGUGCUGUGCAAGCCAGCUUUCCUUUACCCUUUUCCAGAUCUAUGUUUUUCAAUAACACACCCAUGUAUGUUACAGAAUGGUAUUACAAGGCCCUAAAAAAAGCCUAUAUAAACAUAUACAACUUUCAGCAACGGAUCUCUUGGCUCUC
RNAcentral lists this unclassified non-coding RNA (330 nucleotides) under Pholiotina arrhenii. RNAcentral describes it as "partial internal transcribed spacer region". The stretch from base 1 to 46 matches the Rfam family "Eukaryotic small subunit ribosomal RNA", at positions 1786 to 1831 of the family's 1831-position model. Lineage: Eukaryota; Fungi; Basidiomycota; Agaricomycetes; Agaricales; Bolbitiaceae. RNAcentral also lists the same sequence under 1 other name. The record is from RNAcentral.